This 669-nucleotide ribosomal RNA is filed under the name Triticum aestivum (bread wheat). RNAcentral's name for it is "partial small subunit ribosomal RNA". Lineage: Eukaryota; Viridiplantae; Streptophyta; Magnoliopsida; Poales; Poaceae. The record is from RNAcentral.
AUGUACCCGCACAGCCCUACCGGCGAGUACCGACUGCUUCUGUAUCCAUGCCGGAGGUCGAUGCUUGAUGAACCGGCACCUCAUGCUCAAGAUGGCGCUCAUGUCUUCACAUUAGGCUCCGGCCAGCCGCCGAGGCAUAUAGGAUGCCCCGAAGCGAAGGAAGCGAUGUGCAGCCCCGGGUCUGUUCUAUUCAGUUGUAGCUUGCAUUGGUACAUAGGCCACAUGAUAAUGGUAUUUGACACCAUUGCUGAGUCAUUCCGGCUGAUGCCCUGUCCGAUUGUUCCUGGCUAUGCCGAUCUAUUUGAGAUGGGUGACAUCCUUGGCAUGCCCGGUCUUAAUGAGGAAGAGACAAGCGUUGAAAUCUGGGUGAUGCAGGACUACGAAGGUGAGGUCUGGUCCUUAAAAUACCGGGUGGAAUUGCCAAUUGCAGAGAUCAGGGUGCAAUUUGGGAAGUUUCAUCAUCAUUGGGAGGUGGUUGCCACGUCUUGGGACGAUGAUGUGAUUGUGCUAGUCAAAUCUGAUGAUUGGCUACUUCAGGUUGACAUGGAUGACCAUUUGGUUGCCAGUUUCCAUCACAGAGGCCUCGGUCCUACUCAACUUCGGAUCAAACAAUCUCUUGUUUCACAUACCUUCUUUCCGACACGAAAAGGUUAUUUUGCGAGUGCUUAG